Molecule: ribosomal RNA, 464 nt
Filed under: uncultured bacterium
Lineage: Bacteria
Description: partial 16S ribosomal RNA
Rfam family: Bacterial small subunit ribosomal RNA
Source: RNAcentral
GACGAACGCUGGCGGCGUGCUUAACACAUGCAAGUCGAACGGUAAGGCCCCUUCGGGGGUCCACGAGUGGCGAACGGGUGAGUAACACGUGAGCAACCUGCCCUUGACUUUGGGAUACCAGCUGGAAACAGCUGCUAAUACCGGAUAUGACCUCUUCUCUCAUGGGUUGAGGUGGAAAGCUCCGGCGGUCAGGGAUGGGCUCGCGGCCUAUCAGCUUGUUGGUGAGGUAAUGGCUCACCAAGGCUUCGACGGGUAGCCGGCCUGAGAGGGCGACCGGCCACACUGGGACUGAGAUACGGCCCAGACUCCUACGGGAGGCAGCAGUGGGGAAUAUUGCACAAUGGGCGCAAGCCUGAUGCAGCAACGCCGCGUGCGGGAUGACGGCCUUCGGGUUGUAAACCGCUUUCAGUAGGGACGAAGCUAACGUGACGGUACCUACAGAAGAGGGACCGGCUAACUACGUG